ACUGUCGACUUUAUACUUUUUACGAUUUACGCGUGCACAGUAAAACUUACUGUCCCGUUAUUGUUUUUAUUUCUUAAGAAAAUCAGUGAAAACCGAAUAACCAAUCAAAUAACCCAUAAACCUACCAAAAUAAUUGGAUUUGCUUACAAAAAAUAUCAAUAAAUUUGUAUCAGUCCAUUUUUUAGGGAAGAAAGCGAAAGAAAAAUUAGUUUACAUAUUAUUCCUGAUCUAGAACUACAUCUAUUCAACGUUUCAACUCGGAUUGUAAGAAAUAUUUUUGGAUCGGAGGGGUAACAAACACUCCCCAUCCAAAAGAAACUUUUGAAUUUAUAAUAUUAAUAAGAUAGGAUGGGUAGCUACUAAUAGAAUGCAUUUGUUCUUAGUAAACUGCAACAUUUUAUGGACAACAAUUGCUGAAUACGUUAGUUUAUUCACCACGUAACGAUUGUAAUAAAAAAACGGAACAGAGAAUAUUUUUCCGAUGCGUUAACCAGGUGACUUUCACACACCGUAACUCCGGUUUAACUAAAACUAAUAUUUUACAAUUCAAAUAAGAUAAACGCGCUACGUAAUUAAUUGUGUUACGUUAAAAUAUACCGCACGGUUUCGAUUUUAAAUUUUCUAAUCAAUUAAACCAGAAAUCCUUCUAUACACGAUACGGUUACGGAUGUUAUGCUCGUUAAACAGCGGAAAUAGGAAAUUACGCGUUUCUCCCCAAACGCU
Cinara cedri is the source of this 723-nucleotide non-coding RNA. The record is from the annotation of a GenBank genome assembly. Lineage: Eukaryota; Metazoa; Arthropoda; Insecta; Hemiptera; Aphididae.